RNAcentral lists this long non-coding RNA (209 nucleotides) under Gallus gallus (chicken). The record is from RNAcentral. Lineage: Eukaryota; Metazoa; Chordata; Aves; Galliformes; Phasianidae.
GGCCGGUGAAUCUCAAACUCAAACUCCCGGGUGAUGUUACAGGUGUAGAUACCCGAAUCGUUCAAGGUGACAUUUAACACAGUGAUGGACACAUCCUGCAUGUCUUUACUCCCAUUCCAUUGUAUCCGACCACUGAAGCGGCUUGGAAAUUCAUGAUUCAUUUUCCUGUGCUCGUAGAUGGGUUCAUCUUUGCCACCCUCCGGCCUGUA